UGCUAUGUAAAUACCUGUCAUAAUAUAUCGUUUUUAUUCUUGAAUUAUUCCUAUGGUUUUUUCCUGAAUAUUUUGGAUGCAUCACUAGUUGAAGCCAUGGAUAUGAAAUCCUUAUAUACAAAAGGCCCACUGUAUUGUGUCAAAAUUUGAGCAUCACACUUCAAGAAGGAAAUCAACAAGUUGGAACACAUUCAGAAAAAGAUAUUUAGGGCUGAAGAAACAUCAGGUUAUACACUUACAAGAAGAAUCGAUAGAGGAGACAGCAUGUGAACUGGAUUUGUGAGAUUGGACAGAAAAACCGGAAAAAUGUCUUGGAAUCAGGGGUGAAUAAAGUGUGCUCUGCAGACUGUAAGUCUAGUUGGAGUGGAUAUUUAAAAAGUAAUUAUAUAUAAUGUAUAUUCUUUUCUGUGGAUAUGCAACUGAUUAUGGUUCUAACACUUUCUGCCCCAUUCCUAGACCCACUGAGAUCACAAAACAACUAACGAUUUGUAAACCAACAUGUGUGGCAACUCACUGAGUAAUGAAAAGAUAAGAAGGGAAUCAUUCUUCUGGGAAAGGAAGAAUCAUUGUGUCACACAAUCCUACCUAAGUUGUUUCAUGAAGCAGAAACUCCUCCACUUGGAUGGGCUGGUAAUGAAAGGAACUUUCAUAGCCCUCUGAUUCCCUGCCAGGGAUUCCCCAUGGGUCAAAGCCAAUGGGAUGCCUCCUUCUGAAGCCACAGGAGCCUGUUGAUAGAGUUCAGAGAGGACAUCCUCCCCAGGCAGAGAACAGCGUAGAAAAGUGAAGAAUGGAUCAGUUGGAGCAAGUCCGAAGUAUCUGGCACAGGUAAGUGAGAGUCAGCCCAAAGAUUGGCCAAGUAGCACAUCUUUCACAUAGAAAAUAGAACUAUCAAAUAGUCAAAGGUUGGUACUACGAAGGAAUAGUCUACUCAAAAUGAGAAGUGUCUAAUAUAUAUAGAAUGUCCUAAAAAAUCUAUAUGCA
This 981-nucleotide long non-coding RNA is filed under the name Pan troglodytes (chimpanzee). RNAcentral describes it as "lncRNA (ENSPTRG00000054108.1)". Lineage: Eukaryota; Metazoa; Chordata; Mammalia; Primates; Hominidae. The record is from RNAcentral.